Molecule: long non-coding RNA, 1360 nt
Organism: Syngnathus typhle (broad-nosed pipefish)
Lineage: Eukaryota; Metazoa; Chordata; Actinopteri; Syngnathiformes; Syngnathidae
Exons: 3
Source: RefSeq, a predicted model, not a curated record
UUUUUUUUUUUAAGACCAAGGAGAAGUGCAGUGGGGAAGUAAAAGGAGGACCUAAGACUAAUUUGAUGUAUAUAUAUUUUUUUACGGGUAAAUGUCAACAAGUAGCAAGAUGGUCUUCAAUGACCACAUAACAAAGAUGACUCGCUGCGUCUGUUGGUUGCCAUGGCCACCAAGAACACAUGAGUCCCGCAGUGACAGCUCAAAGGCCAUGCUGGGUAAACAUGGACUCCCUCGAGAAGACGACAGAAGGAGGAAGAGAAUCUCAAAUUUGGCAUCACUCCCACAGAUGGGAUAGCAGUGGUGAUGGGAGUGCCAUCAGCGCUGAGAUUUGUCUUACUCAGCAGUGAUCAUUAAUUCAUGAUGCACAGCUUAAUGGAUGUUAGGAUCGGGAACCUCUGCUAGAAAUGACUCAAGUUACAGAGGAACAAAAAAGCAAAAUCAGACUCGAUGUUGUUGUGCUCUAUUCAAAUUGAUUGUGCGUGUGGGGGGAAAUAGAACAAUCAAUGAAAGUACAUGACAACGUCACUCACUAGCCAACAAUGUACUGACAGAAGGAAAACAGCACCUUGAAGUUCUUUUUUUUGUGCUCAUCCGUAUUUGAUCCCCUUAAGGCGGCCUAACAUUGUCCCACUCCACCAUUGUGUGUCUCUAAUCCUGUGUGUUGGGGUAGCAUGUGGCUCAGAUGCACUUUAGCCCCUAAUGGACCCAGUUAUGGAGGAGAGCUGCAACCCUGUUGUCUAAAUUCAGGUCAAGUGUGUGCGCAUGCAUGCAUUUGUUGGCCCGCGUGUAGUUUGACACAGAUAAAAUGUUUAAAAAUGCACAAACUCGUCAUAUUUCAAUGACGGGAAAGCUGGGCAAGCGCAUUCUGAUCAUUCCUGCACUGACAAAGUAACACCUCUUGGUGAAUGAAUGCAGCGUGAUGAUGCUGUGGGGUAUCUUCGUCAAUGGGUUUCUCAACGUACGCCGAUCCAAAGGAGAUGAUUUGGCACAUUUUUUUUGACAGUGUAGCUGUACUUGUCAUCUAACAAAUGUUCCUUUCAAAUGUGUCAUUCAUUUAGGAAGAACUAAACAGGCCUUUGUUUUGGGAAGUAGGAGUCCAUAAGAUUUUUUUGCAACUAUGCGAUUCAAGAUUACUGGACCUGGUAACAUGGUUUUCUGUUCUCAUUAGAAAAUAAUGAUCUCGGUAAAAUUAUAACGUGGUUCUCAAUCAACCUUUAUAAGACAGCUAGCUGACAGAAAAUCUGUUUCUAACACUCAAUUGUUGUAAAAAGCAUGAAAGCAGUGAGCGCUUUUUGAAAAUGAAGUUGUAUUCAUCUGUAUUUAUUCGGAAGGGAGGGAAUCUCUCACUUUUUGAUGGCCA